GGAAACUAGGGCUAAUACCGGAUACGCCCUUUUGGGGAAAGGUUUACUGCCGGAAGAUCGGCCCGCGUCUGAUUAGCUAGUUGGUGGGGUAACGGCCUACCAAGGCGACGAUCAGUAGCUGGUCUGAGAGGAUGAUCAGCCACACUGGGACUGAGACACGGCCCAGACUCCUACGGGAGGCAGCAGUGGGGAAUAUUGGACAAUGGGCGCAAGCCUGAUCCAGCCAUGCCGCGUGAGUGAUGAAGGCCUUAGGGUUGUAAAGCUCUUUUAUCCGGGACGAUAAUGACGGUACCGGAGGAAUAAGCCCCGGCUAACUUCGUGCCAGCAGCCGCGGUAAUACGAAGGGGGCUAGCGUUGCUCGGAAUCACUGGGCGUAAAGGGCGCGUAGGCGGCGUUUUAAGUCGGGGGUGAAAGCCUGUGGCUCAACCACAGAAUGGCCUUCGAUACUGGGACGCUUGAGUAUGGUAGAGGUUGGUGGAACUGCGAGUGUAGAGGUGAAAUUCGUAGAUAUUCGCAAGAACACCGGUGGCGAAGGCGGCCAACUGGACCAUUACUGACGCUGAGGCGCGAAAGCGUGGGGA
RNAcentral lists this ribosomal RNA (581 nucleotides) under Methylobacterium sp. T3-YH-2228. RNAcentral describes it as "bacterial SSU rRNA". It matches the Rfam family "Bacterial small subunit ribosomal RNA", at positions 152 to 767 of the family's 1533-position model. The record is from RNAcentral. Lineage: Bacteria; Pseudomonadati; Pseudomonadota; Alphaproteobacteria; Hyphomicrobiales; Methylobacteriaceae.